GUGUGUGAGAGCAACAUGGCUGUGGCAUCUAUCACCCCAUUGAUAGCCAAAGCUGACUGAGCUGAUCUGAUUGACUAUGGGUGUCCCCUCCUUCCUCAUUGCUCCAUGUUAUAUGUUUUAUGGCUGCUCCCCACCCACACCCGUUCCUCGUCCCAAGUUGUGCACUCUGCAGAAAAGAACAAACUUCUCCAGUCGAAGAUCAAGGACCCACGCUGGCAAGAUAACUCUUCUGGGAAGGUGCGUGUUUUGCAAUGUCUGUAACAAAUUUGCAAUGCAGGCUCAAACCCAGUUCUCACUGCACAGGGAAAUGCUUAGGUUCUGAGAUAUCUUUCCAUCUGAAAAGCGUGACCCAGAGUAGUGAAGCAAAAAAAUAAACUAAAUAAAUAAAUAAAACAAGUGUUAUAGGAGUAGCUGUGUUACCUUGUUAUAAUCUCCAAACAAACUCUCAAGAUCCAUUUGUAUGUAGGUAGUCAGUCUUCCAAAAUUCCAAAAACAUUCAGAUUCUGAAUUCU
RNAcentral lists this small nuclear RNA (512 nucleotides) under Erinaceus europaeus (western European hedgehog). RNAcentral describes it as "7SK RNA". It matches the Rfam family "7SK RNA". From Rfam's summary of the family: 7SK was discovered as an abundant small nuclear RNA in the mid-70s but a possible function has only recently been suggested. Two independent studies have found that 7SK RNA binds the CDK9/cyclin T complex (known as elongation factor P-TEFb). Lineage: Eukaryota; Metazoa; Chordata; Mammalia; Eulipotyphla; Erinaceidae. The record is from Rfam by way of RNAcentral.